GGGCAAAAGGUCAAAGCCCACAUAAGCUUGCUCACAGGUGGGUGAAAGGCCUUGGAACCGCCCCGAUAUGAGCAUAAAAGUGGGAUAAUCAUCCCACGAUAUGUGAAUGUCGGGUAGGAUUGUAGGAGUGCAAAGCACGAAACAAUCCGCAGGUAUC
This 157-nucleotide small RNA is filed under the name pig gut metagenome. Its description in RNAcentral is "Clostridiales-1 RNA". It matches the Rfam family "Clostridiales-1 RNA". The record is from RNAcentral.